RNAcentral lists this ribosomal RNA (500 nucleotides) under uncultured bacterium. Its description in RNAcentral is "partial 16S ribosomal RNA". It matches the Rfam family "Bacterial small subunit ribosomal RNA", at positions 30 to 523 of the family's 1533-position model. The record is from RNAcentral.
AUUGAACGCUGGCGGCAGGCCUAACACAUGCAAGUCGAGCGGAUGAGUGGAGCUUGCUCCAUGAUUCAGCGGCGGACGGGUGAGUAAUGCCUAGGAAUCUGCCUGGUAGUGGGGGACAACGCUUCGAAAGGAACGCUAAUACCGCAUACGUCCUACGGGAGAAAGCAGGGGACCUUCGGGCCUUGCGCUAUCAGAUGAGCCUAGGUCGGAUUAGCUAGUAGGUGAGGUAAAGGGUGACCUAGGCGACGAUCCGUAACUGGUCUGAGAGGAUGGUCAGUCACACUGGAACUGAGACACGGUCCAGACUCCUACGGGAGGCAGCAGUGGGGAAUAUUGGACAAUGGGCGAAAGCCUGAUCCAGCCAUGCCGCGUGUGUGAAGAAGGUCUUCGGAUUGUAAAGCACUUUAAGUUGGGAGGAAGGGCAGUAAGUUAAUACCUUGCUGUUUUGACGUUACCAACAGAAUAAGCACCGGCUAACUUCGUGCCAGCCGCCGCCGUAA